GCUGGGCGUGGUGGCGGGCGCCUGUAAUCCCAGCUACUCAGGAGGCUGAGGCAGGAGAAUUGCUUGAACCCAGGAGGCAGAGGUUGCAGUGAGCCAAGAUCUUGCCACUGCACUCCAGCCUGGGUGACAGAGCGAGACUCUGUCUCGA
Pongo abelii (Sumatran orangutan) is the source of this 148-nucleotide unclassified non-coding RNA. It matches the Rfam family "Metazoan signal recognition particle RNA". Rfam says of the family: The signal recognition particle (SRP) is a universally conserved ribonucleoprotein. It is involved in the co-translational targeting of proteins to membranes. The record is from Ensembl. NCBI's taxonomy places the organism in Eukaryota, Metazoa, Chordata, Mammalia, Primates, Hominidae.